UCUAAAACUCGAGAUAUGGGCUGAAAACUGAACAGUGUCUGGGUUGUAGGACAUAUUCCGACUUCUCAGUUGUUGCUACCAUUUGAACUCGAAAAUGGCACUUUUAAAUUUGGACUCUUCAUGAAAGUUUUAGGCCUAUGUCUUAGCUUUCUAUA
This is a non-coding RNA of Populus trichocarpa (black cottonwood), 155 nucleotides long. NCBI's taxonomy places the organism in Eukaryota, Viridiplantae, Streptophyta, Magnoliopsida, Malpighiales, Salicaceae. The record is from Rfam.